This 510-nucleotide ribosomal RNA is filed under the name uncultured bacterium. RNAcentral's name for it is "partial 16S ribosomal RNA". It matches the Rfam family "Bacterial small subunit ribosomal RNA", at positions 28 to 507 of the family's 1533-position model. The record is from RNAcentral.
GACGAACGCUGGCGGCGUGCUUAACACAUGCAAGUCGAACGAAGAGCGAUGGAAGCUUGCUUCUAUCAAUCUUAGUGGCGAACGGGUGAGUAACGCGUAAUCAACCUGCCCUUCAGAGGGGGACAACAGUUGGAAACGACUGCUAAUACCGCAUACGAUCCAAUCUCGGCAUCGGGACUGGAUGAAAGGUGGCCUCUAUUUAUAAGCUAUCACUGAAGGAGGGGAUUGCGUCUGAUUAGCUAGUUGGAGGGGUAACGGCCCACCAAGGCGAUGAUCAGUAGCCGGUCUGAGAGGAUGAACGGCCACAUUGGGACUGAGACACGGCCCAGACUCCUACGGGAGGCAGCAGUGGGGAAUCUUCCGCAAUGGACGAAAGUCUGACGGAGCAACGCCGCGUGAGUGAUGACGGCCUUCGGGUUGUAAAGCUCUGUUAAUCGGGACGAAUGGUUCUUGUGCGAAUAGUGCGAGGAUUUGACGGUACCGGAAUAGAAAGCCACGGCUAACUACGUA